Molecule: ribosomal RNA, 207 nt
Filed under: uncultured bacterium
Lineage: Bacteria
Description: partial 16S ribosomal RNA
Rfam family: Bacterial small subunit ribosomal RNA
Source: RNAcentral
CGCGCAGGCGGGAAGACAAGUUGGAAGUGAAAUCUAUGGGCUCAACCCAUAAACUGCUUUCAAAACUGUUUUUCUUGAGUAGUGCAGAGGUAGGCGGAAUUCCCGGUGUAGCGGUGGAAUGCGUAGAUAUCGGGAGGAGCACCAGUGGCGAAGGCGGCCUACUGGGCACCAACUGACGCUGAGGCUCGAAAGUGUGGGUAGCAAACA